AAGCGGAGGAAAGAAACUAACAAGGAUUCCCCUAGUAAUGGCGAAUGAAGCGGGAACAGCUCAAAUUUGAAAUCUCCGUUGCCUGCAACGGCGAAUUGUAGUUUCGAGAAGUACUUUCUCGGCGGGUCCGGGGUCGUCCAAGUUGCUUGGAACAGCACGUCGUAGAGGGUGACAACCCCGUCUGCGGCGACUCCGGCCGUCCACGAUGUGCUUUCGACGAGUCGGGUUGUUUGGGAAUGCAGCCCAAAAUGGGUGGUAAACUCCAUCUAAAGCUAAAUAUUGGCACGAGACCGAUAGCGAACAAGUACCGUGAGGGAAAGAUGAAAAGCACUUUGAAAAGAGAGUUAAAAAGUACGUGAAACCGUUAAAAGGGAAACGAAUGGGGUUAGCAAUGCGCCGCGCGAGAUUCAGCCGGCGGGCGAGUCGGGCGGGUGGUCUGCGGAUCCGAAUGGACUGCUGCUGCUCGGUUCGGCCCUCUCGCCGUCGCACUUCUCGCUGGCGCGCGCCAACGUCGGUUGGGACUGGGUUUUAAAGGCGACAGAAAGGUAGGCCCGAACCCUCGGGUUGGGGCUGUUAUAGUCUGACGUCGUAUGGCCCGGGCCCGACCGAGGAGCUUGCGGUGCAUGCCGUCUCGGCUAGGGUCCCGUCGUUCCGGUCGGUCGUCGACUGCGGUGGACUGCUUGCAGUGCGCCGCGACUGCUGCCGGUCGCGAUGGCGGUGACUUCGUACGAUGCGCCCAGGACGUUGGCGGUCAUAUGGCCUCAUCCGACCCGUCUUGAAACACGGACCAAGGAGUCUAACAUGUGUGCGAGUCUUUGAGUGAUCGAAACUCGUGGGCGUAAUGAAAGUGAAGGCGAUCUCGGUCGCCGAGGUGAGAACCUUCUCCCUUCUUUGUUAAGGGGCGGGGGAGGCGCAUCAUCGACCGACCUGUUCUACUCUUAGAAAGAU
RNAcentral lists this ribosomal RNA (948 nucleotides) under Edwardsiidae sp. BAR. Its description in RNAcentral is "eukaryotic LSU rRNA". It matches the Rfam family "Eukaryotic large subunit ribosomal RNA", at positions 48 to 789 of the family's 3401-position model. The record is from RNAcentral. Lineage: Eukaryota; Metazoa; Cnidaria; Anthozoa; Actiniaria; Edwardsiidae.